Molecule: ribosomal RNA, 718 nt
Filed under: uncultured bacterium
Lineage: Bacteria
Description: bacterial SSU rRNA
Rfam family: Bacterial small subunit ribosomal RNA
Source: RNAcentral
AACAGGAUUAGAUACCCUGGUAGUCCACGCCCUAAACGAUGAUAACUCGAUGUUGGCGAUAGACCGCCAGCGUCCCAGCGAAAGCGUUAAGUUAUCCACCUGGGGAGUACGCCCGCAAGGGUGAAACUCAAAGGAAUUGACGGGGGCCCGCACAAGCGGAGGAGCAUGUGGUUUAAUUCGAUGAUACGCGAGGAACCUUACCCGGGCUUGAAAGUUAGUGAAGGAUGCAGAGACGCAUCCGUCCUUCGGGACACGAAACUAGGUGCUGCAUGGCUGUCGCCAGCUCGUGCCGUGAGGUGUUGGGUUAAGUCCCGCAACGAGCGCAACCCCUAUGUUUAGUUGCCAGCAAGUAAUGUUGGGGACUCUAAACAGACUGCCUGCGCAAGCAGAGAGGAAGGUGGGGACGACGUCAAGUCAUCAUGGCCCUUACGUCCGGGGCUACACACGUGCUACAAUGGAUGGUACAGCGGGCAGCUACAUAGCAAUAUGGUGCUAAUCUCUAAAAGCCAUUCACAGUUCGGAUUGGGGUCUGCAACUCGACCCCAUGAAGUUGGAUUCGCUAGUAAUCGCGUAUCAGCAAUGACGCGGUGAAUACGUUCCCGGGCCUUGUACACACCGCCCGUCAAGCCAUGAAAGUUGGGGGUACCUAAAGCAUGUGACCGCAAGGAGCGUGUUAGGGUAAAACCGAUAAUUGGGGCUAAGUCGUAACAAGGUAACC